RNAcentral lists this ribosomal RNA (946 nucleotides) under Staphylococcus aureus. Its description in RNAcentral is "partial 23S ribosomal RNA". It matches the Rfam family "Bacterial large subunit ribosomal RNA", at positions 513 to 1465 of the family's 2925-position model. The record is from RNAcentral. Lineage: Bacteria; Bacillati; Bacillota; Bacilli; Caryophanales; Staphylococcaceae.
GGUGAAAAGCACCCCGGAAGGGGAGUGAAAUAGAACCUGAAACCGUGUGCUUACAAGUAGUCAGAGCCCGUUAAUGGGUGAUGGCGUGCCUUUUGUAGAAUGAACCGGCGAGUUACGAUUUGAUGCAAGGUUAAGCAGUAAAUGUGGAGCCGUAGCGAAAGCGAGUCUGAAUAGGGCGUUUAGUAUUUGGUCGUAGACCCGAAACCAGGUGAUCUACCCUUGGUCAGGUUGAAGUUCAGGUAACACUGAAUGGAGGACCGAACCGACUUACGUUGAAAAGUGAGCGGAUGAACUGAGGGUAGCGGAGAAAUUCCAAUCGAACCUGGAGAUAGCUGGUUCUCUCCGAAAUAGCUUUAGGGCUAGCCUCAAGUGAUGAUUAUUGGAGGUAGAGCACUGUUUGGACGAGGGGCCCCUCUCGGGUUACCGAAUUCAGACAAACUCCGAAUGCCAAUUAAUUUAACUUGGGAGUCAGAACAUGGGUGAUAAGGUCCGUGUUCGAAAGGGAAACAGCCCAGACCACCAGCUAAGGUCCCAAAAUAUAUGUUAAGUGGAAAAGGAUGUGGCGUUGCCCAGACAACUAGGAUGUUGGCUUAGAAGCAGCCAUCAUUUAAAGAGUGCGUAAUAGCUCACUAGUCGAGUGACACUGCGCCGAAAAUGUACCGGGGCUAAACAUAUUACCGAAGCUGUGGAUUGUCCUUUGGACAAUGGUAGGAGAGCGUUCUAAGGGCGUUGAAGCAUGAUGGUAAGGACAUGUGGAGCGCUUAGAAGUGAGAAUGCCGGUGUGAGUAGCGAAAGACGGGUGAGAAUCCCGUCCACCGAUUGACUAAGGUUUCCAGAGGAAGGCUCGUCCGCUCUGGGUUAGUCGGGUCCUAAGCUGAGGCCGACAGGCGUAGGCGAUGGAUAACAGGUUGAUAUUCCUGUACCACCUAUAAUCGUUUUAAUCGAU